This 450-nucleotide ribosomal RNA is filed under the name Triticum aestivum (bread wheat). Its description in RNAcentral is "partial small subunit ribosomal RNA". Lineage: Eukaryota; Viridiplantae; Streptophyta; Magnoliopsida; Poales; Poaceae. The record is from RNAcentral.
AUGGGGAGAAAUGACAGUACUGGUUUUAAGUUCGAAGCAAAAUGGUUGGAGGAAGAGGCAUGUGAGGUGAUUGUUCAAAAUGCUUGGAAGGUGGGGAGUGAGAUUCACAAGGAAGAUGUGGCAGAUGUGCUCAAGGAUGUGGCAUUGGAUCUCACAGACUGGAGCAAAAAUAUACUAGGAAAUUUAGAGAAACGCAUUGCGCGUACAAAAAAAGAGCUAGAGAGGUGGAGGAGGACACCUAUUUUGACUGAACAUGUGCAAAGGGAGAGUGUGUUGCGCUAUAAGUUGGAUAAUUUGGAGCAGCAGCGGGACAUGUAUUGGCGCCAAAGAGCACAUGUGAGUUGGCUGCAAAAAGGAGAUAAAAACACCAAGUUCUAUCAUAUGCAUGCAUCAGUACAGAAGAGACUAAACAAAAUAAAGGAAAUGAAGGUGGAUGGAGGGGCGUGGUAG